RNAcentral lists this transfer-messenger RNA (121 nucleotides) under Flavobacterium sp. RNAcentral's name for it is "partial transfer-messenger RNA". It matches the Rfam family "transfer-messenger RNA", at positions 255 to 374 of the family's 374-position model. From Rfam's summary of the family: Bacterial tmRNA, also known as 10Sa RNA or SsrA, is named for its dual tRNA and mRNA-like properties. Its role is to liberate the mRNA from a stalled ribosome. The record is from RNAcentral. Lineage: Bacteria; Pseudomonadati; Bacteroidota; Flavobacteriia; Flavobacteriales; Flavobacteriaceae.
GAUUUAAAUAAGGUCGGUUUUCAGCCCGUUUAUUUCCCGAAAAUCAAUUGAAAAAUAAGCAUGUAGAAGGUAUAAUUUAUCUCACAACUGGACAAGGGUUCGACUCCCUUCGGCUCCACAA